UAUUGCACAAUGGGGGAAACCCUGAUGCAGCGACGCCGCGAGAGGGAAGACGGUUUUCGGAUNGUAAACCUCUGUCUUUGGGGACNNAANNNGNCGGUACCCAAGGAGGAAGCUCCGGCUAACUACGUGCNNNCNGCCUCGGUAAUACGUAGGGAGCAAGCGUUGUCCGGAAUUACUGGGUGUAAAGGGAGCGUAGGCGGGAUAGUAAGUUGAUUGUUAAAACUAUCGGCUCAACUGAUAGAUGCGAUCAAAACUGCAAUUCUUGAGUGAAGUAGAGGCAGGCGAAAUUCCUAGUGUAGCGGUGAAAUGCGUAGAUAUUAGGAGGAACACCAGUGGCGAAGGCGGCCUGCUGGGCUUUAACUGACGCUGAGGCUCGAAAGUGUGGGUAGCAAACAGG
This 397-nucleotide ribosomal RNA is filed under the name uncultured bacterium. RNAcentral describes it as "partial 16S ribosomal RNA". It matches the Rfam family "Bacterial small subunit ribosomal RNA", at positions 362 to 776 of the family's 1533-position model. The record is from RNAcentral.